This is a long non-coding RNA of Bombus impatiens (common eastern bumble bee), 358 nucleotides long. RefSeq lists it as uncharacterized. The record is from RefSeq and is a predicted model, not a curated record. NCBI's taxonomy places the organism in Eukaryota, Metazoa, Arthropoda, Insecta, Hymenoptera, Apidae. The transcript has 2 exons.
AAAAAUCCUCCCAAGCACCAAACAUACAGAUGUACGAAUAGAAGAUGAUUAUAAACGUGUUCCAGAAGCCAUUGCUUUCUACGAUAAAACAAAGUUUGGUGUGGACGUCGUUGACUAAAUGGCACGCAAAUAUAGUGUGAAAGCAGGGAGUUUCCGAUGGCCCCUUCAAGAAUUCAUAUUUUGUUUAGCCGAGGAAUUAGCUGGAGAAAACAAGGAGAACAUUUGCCAAAGGUCAGACGCUUCAUUUCUGUCACCUUCAAAGUCAGAAGUGCGAAAAAGUUGCCAAGUGGGUUAUUGCAAAAAAUAUAGAAGUAAUAAUUAUUGUAUAUAUUGCAAAAAGAUCGUAUGCGGAAAAUGC